Molecule: ribosomal RNA, 422 nt
Filed under: uncultured bacterium
Lineage: Bacteria
Description: bacterial SSU rRNA
Rfam family: Bacterial small subunit ribosomal RNA
Source: RNAcentral
UAAGGAAUAUUGGACAAUGGAGGCAACUCUGAUCCAGCCAUGCCGCGUGAAGGAAUAAGGCCCUAUGGGUUGUAAACUUCUUUUAGACGGGACAAAACCCCUUUACGUGUAAAGGGUUGAUGGUACUGUCAGAAUAAGCAUCGGCUAACUUCGUGCCAGCAGCCGCGGUAAUACGCAGGAUGCAAGCGUUAUCAGGAUUCACUGGGUUUAAAGGGUGCGUAGGUGGGCAGAUAAGUCAGUGGUGAAAUCUUCCGGCUUAACCGGGGAACUGCCGUUGAUACUAUUUGUCUUGAAUAUUGCGGAGGUAAGCGGAAUAUGUCAUGUAGCGGUGAAAUGCUUAGAUAUGACAUUGAACACCAAUUGCGAAGGCAGCUUACUACACAAUCAUUGACACUGAGGCACGAAAGCGUGGGUAGCGAACA